AACGAACGCUGGCGGCAGGCCUAACACAUGCAAGUCGAGCGCGCCCUCCGGGGUGAGCGGCGGACGGGGGAGUAACGCGUGGGAACGUGCCCUUUUCUACGGAAUAGCCUCGGGAAACUGAGAGUAAUACCGCAUACGCCCUUUGGGGGUAAGAUUUACCGGAACAGGAUCGGCCCGCGUUGGAUUGGGUAGUUGGUGGGGUAAUGGCCUACCAAGCCGACGAUCCAUAGCUGGUUUGGGAGGAUGAUCAGCCACACUGGGACUGAGACACGGCCCAGACUCCUACGGGAGGCAGCGGUUGGGUCUCUUAGACAAUGAAGGCAACCCUGAUCUAGCCGUGCCGCGUAAGUGAUGAAGGCCUUAGGAUUGUAAUUCUCUUUCAGCUGGACAGAUAAUGACGGUACCAGCAGAAGAAGCCCCGGCUAACUCCGUG
RNAcentral lists this ribosomal RNA (433 nucleotides) under uncultured bacterium. RNAcentral describes it as "partial 16S ribosomal RNA". It matches the Rfam family "Bacterial small subunit ribosomal RNA", at positions 29 to 507 of the family's 1533-position model. The record is from RNAcentral.